GUCUAUAACCUCAGAUUAAUUUAUGUAACUUUCUCAUUUCAUCAGCCAUCAUCCGAUUUUCUUGUCUGUCAAACUCUAAAAUUGGCAAUGGAAAUUCUGAUGGAUGUGAUAAACAGGUGAAGAUCUCGAUUCCGAAAGAAGCAACGAUGACCCAGACGACACGCUUGCCGAAUCUACCUUCCGUCAAAGAAAUCUAGCGAGUUGGAUCAUUGUCGUCGUACCUGAGGUGCAAGCAUCGCAAAGUACAUCCUUCAUCUUCUGUUUUUGUCCGUCCUUUUGGAUUAUCGUCGGUGUACUUCACAGUCCCAUGCCGACUGAAUAUCAUUUAUAUAGCACCGUGAUAGAGCCAAUAUCGACUGUCGAGCCGAAGGAAGUCGAUUCUGAGAGGACAUUAGUGUUAGAGAAGGAACAGCUUCAGAACAAGAAACGGAUGUGCACAACAUAUCAGGAACAGCUUCGGAACAAGAAAUUUUCUUUUCAGAGAGAUUUGUUUCUAAAACGGUACCUCGUGAUUAUGGCUUCUUGAGAUGUAUGUGACCGUACCGACGCAUCUUUCUUAACAGAUGCAUAUAACAUAUAUACAGAAUCUAUAGUGCAUGAUGGGUAUUUGAAAAUCUGCAUUAGCUUUCUAUUGUUUAAAAGGACAAAACGGAAUUGGAUAACCACUCAUGUCACAUUGAUAUUGGCCUCUAAUUUAAUAGAUUAUACAAGGUUUGUAUCGGCCCAGAUUGAUGUAAUUUGUCGUUGGGCUAUCAAAUCCCAAAUGAAUUGGUAUGAAUGUUGAUUACAAUAGUCUGAAUGUUUUUUACAAUGAACAUGCACGUUGUACUUUUCAAGUAAUUUGGAUGAUCAGGAAUUAUGGUCUCAAAUAUAUAUCCAGGACCAUGGUUUCUUAACCAUUGUGGCUUUUGAAAAAUUGUUUCUUAUUGGAAGUUGGAGAAAUCCCUUGAUCUCAGUGGAUUGGUUUCUAUAACUACUGCAUAACUGUCAUGGAAAAAUGGUAUAUUCAAGUGGAUUGAUCUAGUUUGAGAAUUGAGAUCAAUGAAGGCAUAUUCUAGUGGUUUAUGAAGGUAAGGCCUUCAAAUACAUGUAUUUGCUUUGUUACAUGUGCAACUAGUACUAUUCCUUCCAUGGAAAAAUGGUAAAGUAUUUGAUAUUAGAUGUAACGACCCGUCCCUAAUUUUCUUAUGUAAUUUCUUCCCGAGUAUGUGUAUUGACGGUUAUGCCCUUAUUGGCAAGUGAUGUGGACAUAUUUAUAUCACUUUUAUUUUAUUUCUUGUUAUCGCAUAUAAAUUAUACAUGUUGUUACGAGUGUACGGGAAUUUCUACCAGUGUAGAAAUAUCUACUUCGAAUAGAUUUUGAUUUCCCUUACAAUAGAAAAUCUGAAAACCUAUCCUUAUCUACCAUUUUAACCCAAACCGUGCACCCUCCUCCAUUAUUUCACCUUCUCACCAAUCAACUACCUCAAAUCUCCCACCAAUCCCAUCCUUCCCCUCUACAUGGCAUCCAAUCAGAAAUCAGAAAAAUGAACUAUCUCUCUCUUCCUUCUCUCUCUCUCCCUUUCAAAACUCUCUUCUUCUUUGCAACCCCUCAAACGAGCUUCAAACCUCACAGAUUGAACCCAAGAACCUCAUUUUCGUGUUCAUCUCAUCCUCACAAACAUAACCAUGUUCUUGAAACCUAGAAUUGACGAGUUUUCAACAUCGAACUCGUGAGGUCCGAAAUUGGGCAAACUGAGUUCGACGUGUUUUCGAGCGAGUUAGGAAGUUUUGAAGCUUGGAGAAGCUUCUACACAACUCCUCAAGGCUUCUACAACAAUUUGGGAGAAAUUUGGAAGUGAAACGACCAAGUUUUCGAAGAGUUCACUUUUGGCCUAAACUUUUGAGGCUUUUUUCGGCAACCUUUGUCCACUUUUUGGACUCCUAACAGAAAUCCGACGAAGUUGAGUUGCAGAUGGCGGCGACGACGAGGCUCGCCAGAGAAGAAGACGGAAUAUUUCGUCAAAGAGACGAAAUAUUCUGACGGCGUCAGGUAACGUCAUUAAUUUUUUUAGCACUUAAUAGAAUAUUCCUGACGGUGUCAAGCUAACUGACGACAUUGGCCUGCGCAUGGGGGCGCGUGUGGCCGCGCCCUUGACGG
Molecule: long non-coding RNA, 2140 nt
Organism: Malus domestica (apple)
Lineage: Eukaryota; Viridiplantae; Streptophyta; Magnoliopsida; Rosales; Rosaceae
Source: RefSeq, a predicted model, not a curated record